GCUUGUGAGUGGAAUUGCGUCUCCGUUUGCGCCGUGUGUGGAUAGCUUGCUAUGCGUGUGUGGCUGUAUUUGGAUUGAUGCGAGUCUUAGCUUAUUGCCGUUCGGGACGUUGACGAAAUGGAGCGAUUUGACCCGUCUUGAAACACGGACCAAGGAGUCUAACAUGUGUGCAAGUGUUAGGGUGUGGAAACCCAAGCGCGUAAUGAAAGUAAAGGACAGCGUAAGUUGUCUGAGGUAGGAAAUGCUGUGGACUUCGGUUUGCGGCGUGGCACUAUCGACCGAUCAUGAACCUUCGUGGUGAAAGAUUUGAGUUUGAGCACAUAUGUUGGUACCCGAAAGAUGGUGAACUAUGCCUGAGUAGGGUGAAGCCAGGGGAAACUCUGGUGGAAGCUCGUAGCGAUUCUGACGUGCAAAUCGAUCGUCAAACUUGGGUAUAGGGGCGAAAGACUAAUCGAACCAUCUAGUAGCUGGUUCCCUCCGAAAUUUCCCUCAGGAUAGCAGCAACUUAUUUACGAUAGUUUUAUGAGGUAAAGCGAAUGAUUAGAGGAUUCGGGGAAGAAACUUUCUCGACCUAUUCUCAAACUUUAAAUCUGUAAGACCUGCAGGUUUCUUAAUU
This 616-nucleotide ribosomal RNA is filed under the name Plasmoverna pygmaea. RNAcentral's name for it is "LSU rRNA". It matches the Rfam family "Eukaryotic large subunit ribosomal RNA", at positions 514 to 1096 of the family's 3401-position model. Lineage: Eukaryota; Oomycota; Peronosporomycetes; Peronosporales; Peronosporaceae. The record is from RNAcentral.